Molecule: long non-coding RNA, 2233 nt
Organism: Aedes albopictus (Asian tiger mosquito)
Lineage: Eukaryota; Metazoa; Arthropoda; Insecta; Diptera; Culicidae
Exons: 3
Source: RefSeq, a predicted model, not a curated record
AUGAAACUCUCGAAGAGAUUUACCAGAGGUGACACUUCCCUAACAAAACACGUAGUCAGGUUUCAGUAAACGGCAUAUAGGUAGUUAUCCAUCAUAUAUUUGUAAACAAACUUCACUUGUAUAUAGAAAAUACCACUUUAGAUUCUUGUGAUACGGCAAGUUCACUUUCACUUUGAAAUAUUCUGUAGCAUAAAGUAGCAUAAAAUUCAUUUUGAUUAGCAGGUCGAUAGAGAUGUGUGCGUGAGUUUGGACUAAGGUGCUUCGGCGAACGAUGCUUCCGUUUUUCAUCAUGCAAGAGUCUAUCGAGUUUUUUUUAAUGCACAUAGUUUUGUUACCUAAAAAUAGAGAUAGAAAUUUAAGUAAACUGAUGAAGAUUCACCUUUAGAUGUACUCUCCGCUAUUGAUUCUUGCAAAUUCAAUCCAAUUCUCCGCAAAAUAUCAGUUUUCUGCCUCCACGUUUAAUAUUAGUUAGCUUGCUUCUCUACGGACACAGUUUGACAGUUCCCGCUCAAGUUAGUUCAUUAAAGUUCAUCGCUCCGUCAAUUGUGACACAGGGUUGAUCUCGAAGUUGUCGGGUUGCCGUGCGAUGUUUUUGUUUAGUACAGAUAAUCUGUCAAUAAAUAACGAUAUGGAUGGAUUUCAUAACACUCUUUACAUAUGUUUGUCAACAGAUGGUUGAUGAGGGAAAUGUUGUGAAUCUUUACGUUCCGUUUGAACGCAAAAAAUCAGUAGUUUAGUCAAUAUUUAAAAUUGAUGCAUAUGAUUUUGAGCGAAGGUGUUCAGUUUUUCAUCAGGUAGUCGAAUAGAUUCGAUGUAACAGAAAAACGUUUACGUUACAAAAAUUUUACGUUUUGGAAGUUCUACAAAUCAGUUGAGAAUCGAAAAUCAAUGAUGUAGAAAACAUAAUUCUCGGACCCGAUGUAUGAGAUCAAACAAGUGGAUACAAUGACGGUGUAUGUCAAUUUACAGUAGUAGCAAUUGGAUACAACAUUAGCAUUAUACAGAUUGAUAAUUUAAAUAAAUUAAAGUAUUGUUUCAGGUUAUGAAAAUUUGAUCAAUAUCUCAUUGAUCAAAUUUUCAUAAAAUUGCGUGGUGUGGUGUAACGCUUAGUCACUUUUUUGAAUUGGACAUAGUUUUUCAAGAUUUUAUGUGUAAAUUAAAAGUAAUUAUUUUCAUUGAAUAUUUAAAAAAAAGGUUAACAUCGUUGAAUUUGAAAUGCACGGCUAAAUUAGGAUAAAAGCUCUUCUUUGUACUAAAAUAUUUAAGUCACUUUAUUAUACAACUUUCUAUAAAAGCUCAUUAAAUUAGGAUAAAAGCUCUUCUUUGUACUAAAACAUUUAAGUCACUUUAUUAUACAACUUUCUAUAAAAGCUCAUUGAAAUAGGAUAAAAGCUUUUAAAGUUAUUUGUACUAAAAAGUUAAGGUGAAACAUAGAUGGCCCAAAGGAGUCGAAAAUAUGAACUGUGGUUGACUCGUCUAAAUUUUUAGUUUUGUAUUAGUAAAUGUCAAAUUACAUGAUCAGUAAAAUUUUACGUUCGAUCAAGUUUCGUAGAAUAGAUUCAGCCAUUACCAAAUCUGAUCGGCAAGUGAGCAGACAGUUAGUUUCGGUGAUAGUGCUUUCAAUUUUUUCAAUCUAAGUUAUUAAAAAUAGUUCCGGAUUUAUUUUAUCACUGGGAACGGAAACUCUGCUCAUCUGUGCAGUUCUAAAUCUGUACAAAAGCGUCCAACGGACGCUUUUUUGUACGGGCUUCAAGCCCGCAGCUACACACUCCGCCAUUUUGAACAUCCACACGACCACGUGGGACAUUUCCGAGGACGCUCGCUCAUCCAGGCCCGCCACAGAGCUGGCAGUCAAACGGGUGGAGAGGAUUGUCUGGCCUGCCCGCAUUCUGAGAGGAGUGAUCGGGUAGCGUACUUGGACCUGCCGAAACCCUUCCCCGCACCUUUAUUCCGGCCAUCAGUGAUUCGAGCUUCUUUUCCGAGCCGUCCCUCGAAGGAACGGGAUCCCGCCGGCCCCGGCGGCAAACCCUUGCUCCGCCGCUGCGCUCGCCAAGAACAUCGCACUCCGUCCGUGCACCCCUCGUCAGCUGACAGCAUAAGUUAAACCCUGCGCAGGUAUGUCCUCAUAAUCAUGGCCAUGAACACACUACACAACACACACUCACACACUCUCACACUGGAUGCUUAAAACGAAAAAAUGAAUUAAUACAUAAAAAUGAAUUCAAACUCAACA